AACUUUCAACAACGGAUCUCUUGGCUCUCGCAUCGAUGAAGAACGCAGCGAAAUGCGAUACGUAAUGUGAAUUGCAGAAUUCAGUGAAUCAUCGAAUCUUUGAACGCACCUUGCGCCCUUUGGCAUUCCGAGGGGCACACCCGUUUGAGUGUCG
This 154-nucleotide ribosomal RNA is filed under the name uncultured fungus. Its description in RNAcentral is "5.8S ribosomal RNA". It matches the Rfam family "5.8S ribosomal RNA". Rfam says of the family: 5.8S ribosomal RNA (5.8S rRNA) is a component of the large subunit of the eukaryotic ribosome. It is transcribed by RNA polymerase I as part of the 45S precursor that also contains 18S and 28S rRNA. Lineage: Eukaryota; Fungi. The record is from RNAcentral.